CAAUAGCGUAUAUUAAAGUUGUUGCAGUUAAAAAGCUCGUAGUUGGAUUUGUGGCGUACGGUGUGUUCCGGGCACUUGUUGUCUGAGUAACCUGCUGUUGCCAUCCUUGGGUGGUACCUGUGUGGCAUUAGGUUGUCGUGCAGGGGAUGCCCAUCAUUUACUGUGAAAAAAUUAGAGUGUUCAAAGCAGGCUUAUGCCGUUGAAUAUAUUAGCAUGGAAUAAUGAGAUAGGACUUUUUUGCUAUUUUGUUGGUUUGCGCAAAGAGGUAAUGAUUAAUAGGGACAGUUGGGGGUAUUCGUAUUCCAUUGUCAGAGGUGAAAUUCUUGGAUUUUUGGAAGACGAACUACUGCGAAAGCAUUUACCAAGGAUGUUUUCAUUAA
RNAcentral lists this ribosomal RNA (380 nucleotides) under uncultured eukaryote. RNAcentral's name for it is "partial 18S ribosomal RNA". It matches the Rfam family "Eukaryotic small subunit ribosomal RNA", at positions 592 to 976 of the family's 1831-position model. The record is from RNAcentral.